RNAcentral lists this ribosomal RNA (424 nucleotides) under uncultured bacterium. RNAcentral's name for it is "bacterial SSU rRNA". It matches the Rfam family "Bacterial small subunit ribosomal RNA", at positions 355 to 796 of the family's 1533-position model. The record is from RNAcentral.
UAACGAAUCUUCCGCAAUGUACGAAAGUAUGACGGAGCGACGCCGCGUGUAGGACGAAGCCCUUCGGGGUGUAAACUACUGUCAGGGGUUAGAAAGUUCUGAUCAACCCCAGAGGAAGGCACGGCUAACUCUGUGCCAGCAGCCGCGGUAAGACAGAGGUGCCAAGCGUUAGGCGGAAUCACUGGGCUUAAAGCGUGUGUAGGCGGAUUUGUAAGUGCUUUGUGAAAUCCCACGGCUCAACCGUGGAACUGCUUGGCAUACUGCGAAUCUUGAGCCACUUAGGGGCUACCGGAACAAAUGGUGGAGCGGUGAAAUGCGUAGAUAUCAUUUGGAACGCCAAUGGUGAAAACAGGUAGCUGGGAGUGUGCUGACGCUGAGACACGAAAGCCAGGGGAGCGAACGGGAUUAGAUACCCCCGUAGUCC